Long non-coding RNA from Telopea speciosissima, 148 nucleotides. RefSeq lists it as uncharacterized. The record is from RefSeq and is a predicted model, not a curated record. The transcript has 3 exons. NCBI's taxonomy places the organism in Eukaryota, Viridiplantae, Streptophyta, Magnoliopsida, Proteales, Proteaceae.
UUUAAUACUGUGGUCUACAUGCAUCCUAUGAGACAUAAAAUCGACAAACUGCUUCUGAGCUGCAAGUUUCCUAGGAGAGCCUUCUGGUGCUUUACUGAACUGGUACGAGAACAACGGAAACAAAAAGAGAUAAAACAAGAGAGAAUAA